AUGGUAGCCCUCAAGUUGGACUUUCAAAAAGCCUUCGACUCGGUUAGCUGGUCAUGCCUACACAGUGUCUUAGCUGCCCGCAGCUUCCCUCGGCGUUGGAUCAGUUGGAUCGAGUGCUUGCUUUCUUCGGCAACAUCUCGAGUUUUGUUAAAUGGGGAGCUGGGUGACUGCUUUGCAAAUAAGAGUGGUUUCAGACAGGGCGACUCCAUCUCGCCGUAUCUCUUCAUUCUGGUGGCUGAUGUUUUGCAACGCCUUUGCUGCUUCGCCUUUGAAUGUGGCAGUUUGAUUCACCCUCUUGGUUCGGACAGGAUGUUCCCUAUUCUACAGUGCGCGGAUGACACCUUAAUCCUCUUUCACGGCACCGUUCAACAAGCUACAAUCAUCAAGCAGAUCUUGUCGGACUUCUCUGCCUUCUCUGGGUUACAGAUCAACUACCACAAAAGCACUCUCAUCCCAAUAUGCAUAGAUAGCUCUACCACUGAUGAGAUCGUUGGCGUGUUUGGCUGCUCAGCGUCAAGUUUCCCCUGCACAUACUUAGGCUUGCCCCUCUCUUUGCACAAGAUUAGACAUGACUUUCUACUUCCAGUCAUUCACAAAGUGGACAAGAGGUUGUCGGGAUGGCUGGCUACUCUUUUGUCUUGGGGCGGCAGGCUGACGCUGAUCAACUCUGUCCUGGCUAGCAUCCCAAGUUACUUCAUAACAUGUUUCUGCUGGCCAAAAGAAUCCAUUCACAAGCUCGAGAGUUUGUUGAGAUCUUUCCUAUGGCAAGGCGCGAGUGCAGCAAAGGGAGGCCAAUGUUUAGUUGCCUGGCAUUUCUUCACCAUGCCAUAA
RNAcentral lists this ribosomal RNA (831 nucleotides) under Triticum aestivum (bread wheat). RNAcentral's name for it is "partial small subunit ribosomal RNA". Lineage: Eukaryota; Viridiplantae; Streptophyta; Magnoliopsida; Poales; Poaceae. The record is from RNAcentral.